UCGAGAAUUUUCCUCAAUGGGGGAAACCCUGAAGGAGCGACGCCGCGUGGGGGAUGAAGGGCUUCGGCUCGUAAACCCCUGUCAAGUGUGAGCAAAGUUGAGUGUUGAACAGGCAUUCAAUUGAUAGUAGCAAAAGAGGAAGGGACGGCUAACUCUGUGCCAGCAGCCGCGGUAAUACAGAGGUCCCAAGCGUUGUUCGGAAUCACUGGGCGUAAAGGGUGCGUAGGCGGUAUGGUAAGACUCGGGUGAAAGCUCUGUGCUCAACGCAGAGACUGCCUGGGAGACUGCCGUACUAGAGGAUUGGAGGGGAGACUGGAAUUCUUGGAGUAGCAGUGAAAUGCGUAGAUAUCAAGAGGAAGACCAGUGGCGAAGGCGAGUCUCUGGACAAAACCUGACGCUGAGGCACGAAAGCCAGGGGAUCAAACG
Molecule: ribosomal RNA, 426 nt
Filed under: uncultured Verrucomicrobiota bacterium
Lineage: Bacteria; Pseudomonadati; Verrucomicrobiota
Description: bacterial SSU rRNA
Rfam family: Bacterial small subunit ribosomal RNA
Source: RNAcentral